GAUGAACGCUAGCGGGAGGCCUAACACAUGCAAGCCGAGCGGUAGAGUCUCUUCGGAGACUUGAGAGCGGCGCACGGGUGCUGAACACGUGUGCAACCUGCCUUUAUCUGGGGGAUAGCCUUUCGAAAGGAAGAUUAAUACCCCAUAAUAUACUGGAUGGCAUCAUCUGGUAUUGAAAACUCCGGUGGAUAGAGAUGGGCACGCGCAAGAUUAGAUAGUUGGUGAGGUAACGGCUCACCAAGUCAGCGAUCUUUAGGGGGCCUGAGAGGGUGAUCCCCCACACUGGUACUGAGACACGGACCAGACUCCUACGGGAGGCAGCAGUGAGGAAUAUUGGACAAUGGGUGAGAGCCUGAUCCAGCCAUCCCGCGUGAAGGACGACGGCCCUAUGGGUUGUAAACUUCUUUUGUAUAGGGAUAAACCUAGAUACGUGUAUCUAGCUGAAGGUACUAUACGAAUAAGCACCGGCUAACUCCGUG
RNAcentral lists this ribosomal RNA (479 nucleotides) under uncultured bacterium. RNAcentral's name for it is "partial 16S ribosomal RNA". It matches the Rfam family "Bacterial small subunit ribosomal RNA", at positions 28 to 507 of the family's 1533-position model. The record is from RNAcentral.